This 384-nucleotide ribosomal RNA is filed under the name uncultured Streptococcus sp. RNAcentral's name for it is "bacterial SSU rRNA". It matches the Rfam family "Bacterial small subunit ribosomal RNA", at positions 995 to 1382 of the family's 1533-position model. Lineage: Bacteria; Bacillati; Bacillota; Bacilli; Lactobacillales; Streptococcaceae. The record is from RNAcentral.
CUGUUCUAGAGAUAGAAGUUACUUCGGUACAUCGGUGACAGGUGGUGCGAUGGUUGUCGUCAGCUCGUGUCGUGAGAUGUUGGGUUAAGUCCGCAACGAGCGCAACCCCUAUUGUUAGUUGCCAUCAUUCAGUUGGGCACUCUAGCGAGACUGCCGGUAAUAAACCGGAGGAAGGUGGGGAUGACGUCAAAUCAUCAUGCCCCUUAUGACCUGGGCUACACACGUGCUACAAUGGUUGGUACAACGAGUUGCGAGUCGGUGACGGCGAGCUAAUCUCUUAAAGCCAAUCUCAGUUCGGAUUGUAGGCUGCAACUCGCCUACAUGAAGUCGGAAUCGCUAGUAAUCGCGGAUCAGCACGCCGCGGUGAAUACGUUCCCGGGCCUU